GGUUAAAAAGCUCGUAGUCGAAUCUGUGUCCCGCGCCGCCGGUUCAUCGUUCGCGGUGUCAACUGGCGUGCCGCGGGACGUCCUGCCGGUGGGCUUAGCUCGUCAGGGCGGCCCAACACAAUCCCGCCGCGGUGCUCUUCACUGAGUGUCGAGGUGGGCCGGCACGUUUACUUUGAACAAAUUAGAGUGCUUAAAGCAGGCUAAAACUUCGCCUGAAUACUGUGUGCAUGGAAUAAUGAAAUAGGACCUCGGUUCUAUUUUGUUGGUUUUCGGAACCCCGAGGUAAUGAUUAAUAGGAACGGAUGGGGGCAUUCGUAUUGCGACGUUAGAGGUGAAAUUCUUGGAUCGUCGCAAGACGGACAGAAGCGAAAGCAUUUGCCAAAAACGUUUUCAUUGAUCAAGAACGAAAGUUAGAGGUUCGAAGGCGAUCAGAUACCGCCCUAGUUCUAACCAUAAACGAUGCCAGCUAGCGAUCCGCCGACGUUCCUCCGAUGACUCGGCGGGCAGCUUCCGGGAAACCAAAGCUUUUGGGUUCCGGGGGAAGUAUGGUUGCAAAGCUGAAACUUAAAGGAAUUGACGGAAGGGCACCACCAGGAGUGGAGCCUGCGGCUUAAUUUGACUCAACACGGGAAACCUCACCAGGCCCGGACACCGGAAGGAUUGACAGAUUGAGAGCUCUUUCUUGAUUCGGUGGGUGGUGGUGCAUGGCCGUUCUUAGUUGGUGGAGCGAUUUGUCUGGUUAAUUCCGAUAACGAACGAGACUCUAGCCUGCUAACUAGGCGUAUUAGACAUCCUAAAGGCCCGCGAGUCCGGGUUUCGGCCCGCGGCUAGCGCGGUUUUUACUGUCUGCGUACAUUAUAUUCUUCUUAGAGGGACAGGCGGCUUCUAGCCGCACGAGAUUGAGCAAUAACAGGUCUGUGAUGCCCUUAGAUGUCCUGGGCCGCACGCGCGCUACACUGAAGGAAUCAGCGUGUCCUCCCUGGCCGAACGGUCCGGGUAACCCGCUGAACCUCCUUCGUGCUAGGGAUUGGGGCUUGCAAUUGUUCCCCAUGAACGAGGAAUUCCCAGUAAGCGCGAGUCAUAAGCUCGCGUUGAUUACGUCCCUGCCCUUUGUACACACCGCCCGUCGCUACUACCGAUUGAAUGAUUUAGUGAGGUCUUCGGACCGGUACGCGGUGGCGUUCCGACGUCGCCGAUGUUGCUGGGAAGAUGACCAAACUUGAUCAUUUAGAGGAAGUAAAAGUCGUAACAAGGUUUCCGUAGGUGAACCUGCGG
Molecule: ribosomal RNA, 1275 nt
Filed under: Phymaphora californica
Lineage: Eukaryota; Metazoa; Arthropoda; Insecta; Coleoptera; Endomychidae
Description: SSU rRNA
Rfam family: Eukaryotic small subunit ribosomal RNA
Source: RNAcentral